UACGUAGGGUGCGAGCGUUGUCCGGAAUUACUGGGCGUAAAGAGCUCGUAGGUGGUUUGUCGCGUUGUUCGUGAAAACUCACAGCUCAACUGUGGGCGUGCGGGCGAUACGGGCAGACUGGAGUACUGCAGGGGAGACUGGAAUUCCUGGUGUAGCGGUGGAAUGCGCAGAUAUCAGGAGGAACACCAAUGGCGAAGGCAGAUCUCUGGGCCGUAACUGACGCUGAGGAGCGAAAGCAUGGGGAGCGAACAGG
This 253-nucleotide ribosomal RNA is filed under the name uncultured bacterium. Its description in RNAcentral is "partial 16S ribosomal RNA". It matches the Rfam family "Bacterial small subunit ribosomal RNA", at positions 524 to 776 of the family's 1533-position model. The record is from RNAcentral.